UACGGAGGUGACAAGCGUUGUCCGGAUUUACUGGGCGUAAAGAGCGCGCAGGCGGUCGUUCAAGUCGAGUGUGAAAGCCCCCGGCUCAACUGGGGAGGGUCACUCGAUACUGAUCGACUUGAAGGCAGGAGAGGGAAGCGGAAUUCCCGGUGUAGUGGUGAAAUGCGUAGAUAUCGGGAGGAACACCAGUGGCGAAGGCGGCUUCCUGGCCUGCUCUUGACGCUGAGGCGCGAAAGCUAGGGUAGCAAACGGG
Molecule: ribosomal RNA, 253 nt
Filed under: uncultured bacterium
Lineage: Bacteria
Description: partial 16S ribosomal RNA
Rfam family: Bacterial small subunit ribosomal RNA
Source: RNAcentral